UACAGAGGUCUCAAGCGUUGUUCGGAUUCAUUGGGCGUAAAGGGUGCGUAGGCGGCGCGGUAAGUCGGGUGUGAAAUCUCGGAGCUUAACUCCGAAACUGCAUUCGAUACUGCCGUGCUUGAGGACUGGAGAGGAGACUGGAGUUCAUGGUGUAGCAGUGAAAUGCGUAGAGAUCAUGAGGAAGACCAGUGGCGAAGGCGGGUCUCUGGACAGUUCCUGACACUGAGGCACGGAAGGCCAGGGGAGCAAACGGG
Molecule: ribosomal RNA, 254 nt
Filed under: uncultured bacterium
Lineage: Bacteria
Description: partial 16S ribosomal RNA
Rfam family: Bacterial small subunit ribosomal RNA
Source: RNAcentral